Molecule: ribosomal RNA, 164 nt
Filed under: Hulsea algida
Lineage: Eukaryota; Viridiplantae; Streptophyta; Magnoliopsida; Asterales; Asteraceae
Also listed under: 1 other name
Description: 5.8S ribosomal RNA
Rfam family: 5.8S ribosomal RNA
About the family: 5.8S ribosomal RNA (5.8S rRNA) is a component of the large subunit of the eukaryotic ribosome. It is transcribed by RNA polymerase I as part of the 45S precursor that also contains 18S and 28S rRNA.
Source: RNAcentral
UAAACGACUCUCGGCAACGGAUAUCUCGGCUCACGCAUCGAUGAAGAACGUAGCAAAAUGCGAUACUUGGUGUGAAUUGCAGAAUCCCGUGAACCAUCGAGUUUUUGAACGCAAGUUGCGCCCGAAGCCAUCUGGCYGAGGGCACGUCUGCCUGGGCGUCACGC